UACGGAGGGUCCGAGCGUUAUCCGGAAUUAUUGGGUUUAAAGGGUCCGUAGGCGGGCCGUUAAGUCAGGGGUGAAAUACUACGGCUCAACCGUGGAACUGCCCUUGAUACUGGCGGUCUUGAAUUAUAGUGAAGUUGCCGGAAUAUGUAGUGUAGCGGUGAAAUGCAUAGAUAUUACAUAGAACACCGAUUGCGAAGGCAGGUGACUAACUGUACAUUGACGCUGAUGGACGAAAGCGUGGGUAGCGAACGGG
RNAcentral lists this ribosomal RNA (253 nucleotides) under uncultured bacterium. Its description in RNAcentral is "partial 16S ribosomal RNA". It matches the Rfam family "Bacterial small subunit ribosomal RNA", at positions 524 to 776 of the family's 1533-position model. The record is from RNAcentral.